UGUGUAGGUGGUUUAGUUAGUCUUCCGUUAAAGACUCGGGCUCAACCCGAGGAGUGCGGAGGAAACGGCUAGACUAGAGAAUGAGAGAGGUGAACGGAACUCAUAGUGUAGGAGUGAAAUCCGUUGAUAUUAUGGGGAACACCAAAGGCGAAGGCAGUUCACUGGCUCAUUUCUGACACUGAGACACGAAAGCGUGGGUAGCGAACAGGAUUAGAUACCCUGGUAGUCC
RNAcentral lists this ribosomal RNA (229 nucleotides) under uncultured bacterium. Its description in RNAcentral is "partial 16S ribosomal RNA". It matches the Rfam family "Bacterial small subunit ribosomal RNA", at positions 568 to 796 of the family's 1533-position model. The record is from RNAcentral.